CGAGCGGCGGACGGGUGAGUAACACGUGGGUAACCUGCCCAAGAGACUGGGAUAACACCUGGAAACAGAUGCUAAUACCGGAUAACAACACUAGACGCAUGUCUAGAGUUUGAAAGAUGGUUCUGCUAUCACUCUUGGAUGGACCUGCGGUGCUUUAGCUAGUUGGUAAGGUAACGGCUUACCAAGGCAAUGAUGCAUAGCCGAGUUGAGAGACUGAUCGGCCACAUUGGGACUGAGACACGGCCCAAACUCCUACGGGAGGCAGCAGUAGGGAAUCUUCCACAAUGGACGAAAGUCUGAUGGAGCAACGCCGCGUGAGUGAAGAGGGGUUUCGGCUCGUAAAGCUCUGUUGGUAGUGAAGAAAGAUAGAGGUAGUAACUGGCCUUUAUUUGACGGUAAUUACUUAGAAAGUCACGGCUAACUACGUGCCAGCAGCCGCGGUAAUACGUAGGUGGCAAGCGUUGUCCGGAUUUAUUGGGCGUAAAGCGAGUGCAGGCGGUUCAAUAAGUCUGAUGUGAAAGCCUUCGGCUCAACCGGAGAAUUGCAUCAGAAACUGUUGAACUUGAGUGCAGAAGAGGAGAGUGGAACUCCAUGUGUAGCGGUGGAAUGCGUAGAUAUAUGGAAGAACACCAGUGGCGAAGGCGGCUCUCUGGUCUGCAACUGACGCUGAGGCUCGAAAGCAUGG
This 685-nucleotide ribosomal RNA is filed under the name uncultured bacterium. RNAcentral describes it as "bacterial SSU rRNA". It matches the Rfam family "Bacterial small subunit ribosomal RNA", at positions 92 to 764 of the family's 1533-position model. The record is from RNAcentral.